Molecule: transfer RNA, 74 nt
Filed under: Marmota monax (woodchuck)
Lineage: Eukaryota; Metazoa; Chordata; Mammalia; Rodentia; Sciuridae
Description: tRNA.Ala
Source: RNAcentral
GGUAUAUAGCUCAGUUGAGUUGAUAGAGUGCUUGCCUUGCAUGCACAAGGCCCUGGGUUCAAUCCCCAGCACCA